This 279-nucleotide ribosomal RNA is filed under the name uncultured bacterium. RNAcentral describes it as "partial 16S ribosomal RNA". It matches the Rfam family "Bacterial small subunit ribosomal RNA", at positions 506 to 784 of the family's 1533-position model. The record is from RNAcentral.
UGCCAGCAGCCGCGGUAAUACGGAGGGGGUUAGCGUUGUUCGGAAUUACUGGGCGUAAAGCGCACGUAGGCGGAUUAGAAAGUUAGAGGUGAAAUCCCUCGGCUCAACCGAGGAACUGCAUUGGAUACUGGUAGCCUUGAGUCUCGGAGAGGAAAGCGGAAUUCCCAGUGUAGAGGUGAAAUUCGUAGAUAUUGGGAGGAACACCAGUGGCGAAGGCGGCUUUCUGGACGAUGACUGACGCUGAGGCGCGAAAGCAUGGGUAGCAAACAGGAUUAGAUA